AUGACUCUGUGGUCAGCCUUAAAUCUUUCAGUAGAUCAUAUUGAUGUUCUUGUCAGAAAUAUAAAUAUGGGUGAUAGAGAAUGGAGGUUUAGUGGAUUUUGUGGGGAACCAGCAAGAGCAAAAAGGAAGAAUAGUUGGGAGUUGUUGCAGUUUCUUCGAGGACAAUUUGAUAAUCCGUGGAUUUGUGCUGGUGAUUUUAAUGAGGUGCUGGAUGCAAAUGAACAAUAUGGUGGAGUAUACAGGGAGGAGUGGAUGAUGGAAGGUUUUUGUGAAAUGGUGGACUUUUGCCGGUUUUCAGAUUUGGGGUAUGUUGGUCUUCCUUACACGUGGGAUAACCAUCAACAGGGCAUUAGAAACAUAAAAGCCAGGCUAGACCGGGCACUAGGGGAUGAUAAGUUCAUGGACCACUUUGACAAUACCAUGGUUCGUCACCUUCAGAGUACAGAUGCACUACUUAUGAGCAUUAGGCAGUCAAGUUGGCUAAAUGAUGGAGGUGGGCAUCGAACUUUUCAUUUUGAGAAUGCUUGGACGAGGCAUGAGAACUAUAAAGAAGUUGUCGAGAAAGCUUGGGUGCACGGCCAUGGUAACCUGGGGAUCAUGAGUGAAGCUUUAGGUAUUGUGAGAACCAGGUUGCUGGUGUGGAGCAUAAGUGAGUAG
This 657-nucleotide ribosomal RNA is filed under the name Triticum aestivum (bread wheat). RNAcentral's name for it is "partial small subunit ribosomal RNA". Lineage: Eukaryota; Viridiplantae; Streptophyta; Magnoliopsida; Poales; Poaceae. The record is from RNAcentral.